UGAGGGAUCUUGCGCAAUGGGCGACAGCCUGACGCAGCAACGCCGCGUGGAGGAUGACGGCCUUCGGGUUGUAAACUCCUUUUCUCAGGGAGCAGAGCGGAGAGUACCUGAGGAAGAAGUCACGGCUAACUACGUGCCAGCAGCCGCGGUAAUACGUAGGUGGCAAGCGUUAUCCGGAAUUACUGGGCGUAAAGGGUCCGUCGGUGGGGCCAUAAGUCUGAUGUAACAGCCCCUGGCUUAACUGGGGGUAGCCAUUGGAAACUGCGGCUCUUGAGUCACGGAGAGGGGUGCGGAAUUCCGGGUGUAGUGGUGGAAUGCGUAGAGAUCCGGAGGAACACCAAAGGCGCAAGCAGCACCCUGGUCGAGGACUGACACUUCAGGACGAAAGUAUGGGGAGCAAACAG
This 404-nucleotide ribosomal RNA is filed under the name uncultured bacterium. RNAcentral describes it as "bacterial SSU rRNA". It matches the Rfam family "Bacterial small subunit ribosomal RNA", at positions 355 to 775 of the family's 1533-position model. The record is from RNAcentral.